Molecule: unclassified non-coding RNA, 237 nt
Filed under: Hevea brasiliensis (rubber tree)
Lineage: Eukaryota; Viridiplantae; Streptophyta; Magnoliopsida; Malpighiales; Euphorbiaceae
Source: RNAcentral
UGGCAGUGUGGAAUCUCACCUUCAUGGUGUUGACAAGGAAAGUUCUCCACUUGAUUGGGAUGCCCGAAUGAAAAUAGCACUCGGUGCUGCCCGAGGCCUGGCCUAUUUACAUGAAGAUUCCAGUCCCCGUGUCAUACACAGGGAUUUUAAGUCUAGUAACAUCUUACUGGAACAUGAUUUCACCCCAAAAGUGUCUGAUUUUGGUUUGGCUAGAGCUGCAUUAGAUGAAGGAGAAAG